Molecule: ribosomal RNA, 731 nt
Filed under: uncultured bacterium
Lineage: Bacteria
Description: bacterial SSU rRNA
Rfam family: Bacterial small subunit ribosomal RNA
Source: RNAcentral
CCCUUAGAGUUUGAUCCUGGCUCAGAACGAACGCUGGCGGCGUGGAUAAGACAUGCAAGUCGAGCGCGACUUGCCCUGUAGCAAUACAGGGUAAGUUGAGCGGCGCAAGGGUGCGUAACACGUGGGUAAUUUGCCGUGAAGUUGGGGAUAACUCGCUGAAAGGCGAGCUAAUACCGAAUGUGGAACGGGAGUGGCAUCACUUCUUUUCUAAAGCUGGGGAUCGCAAGACCUGGCGCCUCAUGAUAAGCCCGCGGCCUAUCAGCUAGUUGGUGUGGUAACGGCACACCAAGGCUAAGACGGGUAGCUGGUCUGAGAGGACGACCAGCCACACUGGAACUGAGACACGGUCCAGACACCUACGGGUGGCAGCAGUCGAGAAUUUUUCUCAAUGGGCGCAAGCCUGAAGGAGCGACGCCGCGUGGGGGAUGAAGGGUUUCGAUCCGUAAACCCCUGUCAUUUGUGAACAAUGGUUAUCCGUGAAUAGCGGAUGACUUGAUAGUAAUGAAAGAGGAAGGGACGGCUAACUCUGUGCCAGCAGCCGCGGUAAUACAGAGGUCCCGAGCGUUGUUCGGAUUCACUGGGCGUAAAGGGUGCGUAGGUGGCUUGGUAAGUUUGAUGUGAAAGCUCAGGGCUCAACCCUGAAAUGGCAUUGAAUACUAUCGAGCUGGAGGUUUGGAGGGGGGACUGGAAUUCUUGGUGUAGCAGUGAAAUGCGUAGAUAUCAAGAGGACA